This 834-nucleotide ribosomal RNA is filed under the name Triticum aestivum (bread wheat). RNAcentral describes it as "partial small subunit ribosomal RNA". Lineage: Eukaryota; Viridiplantae; Streptophyta; Magnoliopsida; Poales; Poaceae. The record is from RNAcentral.
AUGUCCCAGCCCCCAACCACCCCCACUCCUCCUCCUUCCUCCUCCAGCCCCAGCCGCCAGGGCACAAACCUUUCCCCUCAAAAAUGGCAAUGUGAGCAGAGGAAGGAAGCUGAUAUGGUCGAAGAAGGCAAGGAGAAGCAAGGAGCAGAGAGAGAAGACAAGAAAAACAUGGAUGCAGGCAAGGAGAAGCAAGGAGCAGGAACAGAUCAGAGGGCACAAAUCACUCACCAGGCUGUUCUUGAUCCGUAUGGAGCUACUAUGUUUGGUUCUCAGGGGGGGCAAAAUAGCCAACAGCAACAGUGGCUGAAUUCUGAUGCUUGGAACCAAGGGAUGCAACAUACACACCCCUGGAUGCAAAAUCAGAGGCUUCCACAUGCUUCUAUUAACAGAACACAAAGGAAUGCCCUGAAUAUUCCAGUGAGUGCAAUUAUGUAUGGUAUCUUCAAUAGUCAAGGCAAUACACAGGCAAACUUGCAUGUGAACCUGGGUGCACAUACUUCAGUGGGUGAGUACAACCAAGUGUCUGCUGUGCUCCAACCCCCUGCAAACAAGGUCGCUUAUGAAGCCCCUAUGUCAUACAUGCAACUCCUACUUGCUGCUGAAGAAGAGGGUGCUAGAAAUGCAUCAUCUCAAUCACAAGAAGAUCGCCUUGUUCGUACUGAGAAUGAUAUGUACAUGAUAACUGGGCGAUACAGUGUAUCUUCAGAAGAUCCAUUCCAAGCACAUGCUGGCAGUGGAGCUCAGCAUACAUCUGAAGUCGAUGACCAGCAUGAUAUAGAUCUUGAACCUUUUGUUGACAAUCGAUUUUCAGAAAGCUUGAAUGAUUUGAACUAG